AUGCAAUCUUAUGAUGAAAAACUUAAUUUAGAAGUUUCUAUACCUAGAAAACUUAAUGAUGAGUGGGAACCUACUAUAAAGAUUAGAACUAAAGAUCAUGAGUGUUUUACUUUGUGUGAUUUGGGUGCUAGUUUUUCCAUGAUUCCGAAAACUUUAUGUGAUAUUCUAGGUUUCCAUGAUCUUGAUGAUUGCUCUUUCAAUUUGCACCUUGCGGAUUCAACCAUUAAAAAGCCAAUGGGAAGGAUCAAUGAUGUUCUCAUUGUUGCAAAUAGAAAUUUGGUGCCCGUGAAUUUUAUCGUUCUUGAUAUAGAUUGCAAUCUUUCUUGCCCUAUUAUUCUUGGUAGACCUUUCCUUAGAACGAUUGGCGCGAUUAUUGAUACGAAUGAAGGGAAUAUUAGAUUCCAAUUUCCAUUAAAGGAAGGCAUGGAGCACUUUCCAAGAAAGAAAGUCAAAUUACCUUAUGAAUCUAUCAUGCUAGCUACUUAUGAAUUUAGUGCCAAAGAUGGCACUCGUUAG
RNAcentral lists this ribosomal RNA (516 nucleotides) under Triticum aestivum (bread wheat). RNAcentral's name for it is "partial small subunit ribosomal RNA". The record is from RNAcentral. Lineage: Eukaryota; Viridiplantae; Streptophyta; Magnoliopsida; Poales; Poaceae.